RNAcentral lists this ribosomal RNA (262 nucleotides) under uncultured archaeon. RNAcentral describes it as "partial 16S ribosomal RNA". It matches the Rfam family "Archaeal small subunit ribosomal RNA", at positions 748 to 1008 of the family's 1478-position model. The record is from RNAcentral.
CAGCCGUAAACAAUGUGCGUUAGGUGUGUCGGUAACCACGCGUUACUGAUGCGCCGAAGAGAAAUCGUGAAACGCACCACCUGGGAAGUACGGUCGCAAGGCUGAAACUUAAAGGAAUUGGGCGGGGGAGCACCACAACAGGUGGAGCCUGCGGUUUAAUUGGAUUCAACGCCGGACAUCUCACCGGAUAAGACAGCUGAAUGAUUGUCAAUCUGAAGGUUUUACAUGACUAGCUGAGAGGAGGUGCAUGGCGUCAGUGACU